UAUCCUUUAAUGUACGUUACAUUCACACCAGCACUUCUAAUUAAGCGGUUAGUUUUGUAACGGACCGGACCGGACCGGACCGGCACACGCCGCCGAACGAGAACGCGACAAACCAGGACCGGAAUCAGCGCGUGAUAAUCAGCAAAAUGACCAGGAGCCAGUGGAGGCGGAACCGGAAGGUACCGGAGCAGAGGGACGAGAUAAAGGAGGAGCAGCGCUCUAAAACUGGAAACGGAGGAAGCGGCUUCUAAACAGUCAUUUAGGAUGAUGUUGAGAUUUGGAGUUUGGGCAAAAUUUAGCAUUGAGGGGAGAAAGCAGAAAUAAACUUUGGAUUAUUGCCACAAUUGGAACUAAUUCAAUUUAUUUAAUUUUAGUGUAUACAGUCACCUGAAAUAGUCAGCUUUUAAUGAGUGGACGGAAAUGCUUUUGACAGCACUGAUCAUGGAAUCCAGCUCUCGUCCUUUUGGAACUUUAUCAGGUUCAAUGUCAAACAUUUAUUUAAGAUUCAGCUUCUCACGGGUGAAUUUCUUUAGAAUUUGUCUGAUUAGGACAUGAAGAAACUUUGUCUUCUGGUCGAACCAAACAACCUGUGAUGACGUCCUGAAGGCUUUGGGGAAAUAUUUACUGCUUUUGGAUAUUUUGCAGCUCUAAUCAAUAAAAGUCUAGAUAGAAUUAGUGAUAGGCUGUUGUAUCGCUCUAUAAUUACUGCCUGUUACCAUCAUCACCAUCACAUGUUGGCACAUGUUGCACCACCUGGUGCAUUCAGGGACACGUGGAAAACAAACCCUCUUAUCAGAUCACUGAAUCCUUAAUAAGGAAAGUGUAUAUCAGUUAUUGUGUUUGUGCAGCCAGUGCAGACGUGUCACAUCGUGCCUCAUCGACACAGCCGCUCGCUGCCUGGAGCUUCAUCUCUGUGGAAUGUUUGCAUACGUGAGCCUCAACACACAACGGGUUCCUGCCACUGGUGCCAACUCUGCCGCAGGGCCCGGAGCAAGGCAGCACGGUACCGCCACCGGGCCUGCGUUGGUUCCUGCUCAGAGAGGCAGGUCGGGAGCAGGAAGGUUUGGUGGGAUCUGCGUCAUCAAUCAUUGUUAAUGUGCAUCCUGUGGUUCAACAGCUGCAGCCCAGCACAGAGUAGGAAAGGUUCAUCUCCUGCGAGGCUGCGGUUGGUGGCGAUUAACCAUCACCGGCGUCUGGACAGGUGUGGGGACGGGCAGAGCUCCUGGUCUGAACAAUGGUCUGAACAAUGGUCUGAACAAUGGUCUGAACAAUGGUCUGCAGGCACAUCCUGACUCCAAGAAAGCAGCAAUCAGAGGUCACGCCACCUGCACUCACACAAAGUCAAGUGUGCAGGAGCUUCCAGUAACGUUAAGGUAGAAAAAACAGACAACAUAGAAGAAGCUGAGCUUCACUCACUGACAGAACAAACACACCAGUGGCUUCUAACUCUAAUAUCCGAAAUAUAAAGUCUGGUUUCCAGGAGUUUUCCUUGUUCAGUGUGUUAAUCAUCAUCAGUCUGAAUCACAAAACUAAAGAACAAAGCCAGAGAAUAAAGACACUGCUGAUACUCACGCUAUAAACCAGUGAAAUCUUCUAUGUUCAGUGAAAUCUUCUAUGUUUUCAUGCCUGAGAGAUUAAGGAUAAAGACUAAUCGGCAGACUUCGAGUCACCAGGAGGUUGUCGGUUCAAACCCCAAGACCAGCAAGAUUAAAAUCUGGGUGGGCCAAAUGACAAAAACAGCAGAGUAUGAAUGUUAACAUGGUUUUCCUGAAAAAGAUACGUGACCUCACAGCGAGGCUAAUUACACUGCCAGUAAAAGAAAGGUCAGGAAGUUUGUGUGGAUAGAAGAUAAAUCCCACAGAGAAGACGCCUGAUCCUGUGGCUGCCACUCGUAUCAUAUAUGACCUUAAGUGAACUUGCUCAUAAGCGAAACAGCAUCCCAUCCUCCCUGACACGGAGUAAACACUUUGUUGAUGGGGAAAAUAAGCUGUUGAUGUUAUGAGCGUGAAUAUCAGCCUCCAGAAACACCAUGCGAGUAAAAGUAAACCUCCCGCAUUCUUCUUCAAAUUACGACACGUCCGCACUGUGCAGUGUGUGCAGGGAACGGCUCUUCCCUCCUGGCGCUGGCAGAUCAGACAGGAAGCAGGUCUGGUUACUGGUUAACUCAGACGAUGGAGCGAUUCACACGUACGCACAGCGAGAGAACAUGGAGCCACAGACGCGUUGUGCCUUUUAAAAUGAACCCAGCGCCUCGAAGCCCACAACCAACGCUCACUGUGCUGUUCAGUGACGCAACACCGACCGACAGGACGCGAAGACGUAGAAACACAACUGCAGAACUGCAGAUGACCCAACAUCUGAUCCAGGACCUGGACCCGACGCACUGUACAGCCCAGUGCCUGGUUCGCGAAGAUCACACUGACGUCACAUCGCAGCCUGCUAGGCUCUACGUCAUCAGACAUGCGUCUUAAAACUGCUCCAUAGAAGUUCCGCUGUUGAGAGUUCAUUAGCCAAUCAGAAGGAACGUAAAGACAGCGAUUAGCCAAUAGGAAGCGGGAAAAUUGAAACGAGCGUGUUUCGAUUGUUGUGGCCAAGUAAAAAAUACUUUCCAUUAUUUUGCUGUCAAGAAUAGAGUUCAACCACCUGGAACACAUGUGUUCUCAGAAUGAGUCAGUAGCUGACCUCAAAACCCAAAGCAUUUACGGCUCAACAUGACGACGCUCCUCCGCGGUAUAAACGGUCUGGGGCCCGCAAGAAGGAGGUUUAACAAACUCUGAGUUCAAACUGAACUCUGGCUUGACUUCAAUGAGUUUGAAAACCUGGAGUUUUCGGUUUCAGAACAGCUAAAAAGAGUUGGUUUAAACUAAUUACUAAAUAAUGUUAGUAUUGUUGUUAUGUUUCACUUGUAAAGUAAUGAGUCGUUCUUAAUUUUUCACUCAUCCAAGGAGUUACUUCAGUCAUUGCAUAAAAUACCGAUUUUUGUAUGAAUUAAAGUGCAGUGUUAUGUCCAACCUUUUUUUUUAAAUUCCUGGUGUGGUUGAUUUGGGAUUUGUAAAGUAAUGAUAAUUCAAUAAUCCAAUACGUUUUAUGUAGAGCAAUUAUUACAUCUACUUACGUUUUUAAAAAUUAGCCAACACUGAUGUAAUAAUGGGCGGCACGGUGGUGCGGUGGGUAGCACUGUCGCCUCACAGAAAGAAGGUUCUGGGUUCGAUUCCCGGAGGCGGCCCUGGUGCCUUUCUGUGUGGAGUUUGCACGUUCUCCCCGUGUUUGCGUGGGUUCUCUCCGGGUUCUCCGGCUUCCUCCCACAGUCCAAAGACGUGCAUUAGGUUGAUUGGCUUCUCUCCAUUGCCCGUAGGUGUGAGUGUGUGAGUGAAUGGUUGUCUGUCUAUGUGUUGCCCUGCGAUGGACUGGUGACCUGUCCAGGGUGUACCCUGCCUCUCGCCCGCAGCCAGCUGGGAUAGGCUCCAGCUCCCCCGUGACCCCGCACUAGGGAGUAAACGGUUAAGAAAAUGGAUGAUGUAAUAAUAUAAGAAUUUGAUUUCAAUUUUUACGUAGGUGCAAUCCUGCAGGCAUAAAAAGAACGUGGCUAAAAAUGAAAUAUAAAAACAUAUUUCAAGAGGACCUGCACCUCCACCACUGACGCAUGCAGAGGAGAUGGCCCUCAGCAUGAACACUGGAAAGCAGGGGCUGAAGGAGGGAGUUCAUCAGAACCAGUCACUCCUCAGGAUACAAGUGCAUCUGUAAAAUAUUCUGAUUGUAAUAUCAGCCUCUUGGAUCCUCCUGUCACAACAGAAGCCCAGGCUGUUAGUGUGGAAGAACAGCAGGAGGGUCCGUCACAUUCUGCUGCACAGAUGCACACAGUCAGUGAUGUUCAGUAAAUGCCAGAGUUCAGUUCUGUAAAAGUAAUGAGUAACUAAACUAAUCUGAGGGUGUAAAUGAUUAUUUCUUAAUUGAUGUAGUUAUUUGUUACUUAUAUUAUUUAUUUAUACAUCUGUUCAUGCUGCACCAACAUAAGUAGAUAAGAUUAACUUAAUUUACAUCCAGUGCAAUAAACAUUAAUGAUAAUA
Molecule: long non-coding RNA, 4067 nt
Organism: Betta splendens (Siamese fighting fish)
Lineage: Eukaryota; Metazoa; Chordata; Actinopteri; Anabantiformes; Osphronemidae
Exons: 4
Source: RefSeq, a predicted model, not a curated record